GAUAACCGCCUUUCUGAAGCCCCGCCUAAAAUCCAUAAUUUGACCGUUAUUCUUAUGAUAGUGACUGACUGUCUGUUACCAUCGCGACCAGAUUAUCUUUUGCUCUUCUAAUGUAAGUCUGUUUAAAGAGCAAAAAUAAUAUGAGAAAUCAAAUAUACAGUAGCCUACAUAUGUAGGGUUUAUGGGGCAAUUUGAAUUGGGGGGAAAAAAGGCUCCUAAAGAUUGGCUUCGUUUACUUACAUGAUAUUCUUGACCGAUUUCGUCAGAAGCAUCCAAUCAUCUGCUUCUCCACAACAGGACAACUACCAAGACAUGAAAAGUCACUCUGAUGAUUCUGGAGCAGUUUGUUCUUUAACGUGUUGGUUCUGGUGGGUCUGAAAACUA
Long non-coding RNA from Cyprinus carpio (common carp), 384 nucleotides. RefSeq lists it as uncharacterized. The record is from RefSeq and is a predicted model, not a curated record. NCBI's taxonomy places the organism in Eukaryota, Metazoa, Chordata, Actinopteri, Cypriniformes, Cyprinidae. The transcript has 2 exons.